UUCAUCUUCUUUCUUAUUUUACCUAGUUGAUUCAAGAUACCAAGACAGCUAGUGUACUUUCAGACAUCUGAGACAACUCUAAAAAACUCUCAUCAUCAAUAGGAUACACCAAGUAGUACACAUUCACACAUCUAUACAUCAACAUACCCUCAGACGUCAAAUUCAAACUCGAACAGUUCUCAGAACAUCCGUAUAAUUAGAUACUGCAUCUAUUACAACUGGAGCAACUUGUCUCAAACUAUGAGUACAUAUAUUUUCAGAAUAUGUAAUAAAGCAAACAUGUACACUGAUCUAAUGUAUAUAUUUAAUAUGAUUUACCUCCACUUAGAAUAUAGAUUUUGCUCUCACUAUUUGGUCUUAUUGAUCCAUUCGCUCCUGACCUUAUCCAAAAUAUGAAUAUAUACCGACCUAUCUAGGGUAAUUUACACAAAUCCCUCAAAAAUGGUCCUAUCUAAUGUUUUUACCUCAACUUUUUUAUUUUUACAAUAAUCUCUCAAUAAAAUAUAAAAGUUUUCACAAUUCCCUUAUACCCAAAAUAAGCUGAAUUUAUUAAAAUAGAACAAUUUUAACCUCUACCUUCCGUUCUUAAUUCAUGUGGAAAGUUUCAAGCUAAAAAUUAGGAGUGGUUGGUUGGUGGUUGGAUUUUAGAUAGUCGGUCAAUAAUCAGACUGCCGGCGGCGGUGAUCGGAUCAACUGUGCGACCGAGAUGGUUGGAUCAAUGGCGGUGGUCGAUACUGCUCCGAGUUUCUAGAUCGCCGCAUCAUUCCCGGUGAUCGCUGCAUCAUUCUCUUGACUUUCAUAUUACCAUUGAUCCUUUUUAUUUAUGUUAUUGAUCGAUGACAGAUACAAUUGGUUUGAUAUGGUGGCGCGGUGGUUAGAUCGGCAACACGGUGGCUGGAUCGGUAGUGCGGUGGUUUGGCUCCUUCAAAUUUGGUGGAAGAUAUUGAAUAAGUUAAUCAUUUGUUGUUUGCCCAAAUUUUGGUAGGAUAUGCUACUGUGAUAUAUUCAUGCUGAUAUAUUACAUCUCCAACAUCAAUUUCAACAAUCACAAAGAAAUGGAUUUCUCGUAAAAUAGUGGCUCAUGCUUUAGCUCAAUCUUGUAAAAUUUCAUACAGGUAGAUACUUAGUCAUUAAUAUUAGAUUUUAAUUGUGUUGUUUAGGUUGUAAGAUUGGCCUAUUUUCUUAAUACGAUAUCUUCUGUUAAAAAAUUUGAGGUUGAAGAUGAUGGUUAAUAUACCUAUUUGAUCCAAAUGGUGUAAAAUGAUAUUUUAGCCAAAAUUAAGAAAAGUCGACAUUCUUGUCAA
Mercurialis annua (annual mercury) is the source of this 1304-nucleotide long non-coding RNA. RefSeq lists it as uncharacterized. The record is from RefSeq and is a predicted model, not a curated record. The transcript has 2 exons. NCBI's taxonomy places the organism in Eukaryota, Viridiplantae, Streptophyta, Magnoliopsida, Malpighiales, Euphorbiaceae.